This 1496-nucleotide unclassified non-coding RNA is filed under the name Bombus terrestris (buff-tailed bumblebee). RNAcentral's name for it is "misc RNA ENSBTSG00005029630.1". The record is from RNAcentral. Lineage: Eukaryota; Metazoa; Arthropoda; Insecta; Hymenoptera; Apidae.
CUAGAAGAGUAAAAAGUACAGUUAUUGUAGAAAAUUUCGACAAUUCGUUGACACAGAAGAAAAAUAUAAAAAAAGUAAAAUACUAAUGAAUACUUUCAUAUCAUCGUAUUUUCGAUAAGUGUCUUUUUAAUUUACCAAUAACAAAUACUCAGAGAUAAACAACAAAUAAAAUGCUAUAUUUAUUUGCAGAGGCAUCAUAAGAAAAAGCGAAAAACUAUGAAAAGCCUGAGACGCAUUGACAUCUUAGCGCAGCCUAAAUCUAUAAAACAUAAAGUAGAACAUAAGAAUCAUUUUUCUACAGUAAGCAAAUCUGCUCAAAAGCAUCAAAUUCCAAAAAGGUCUAUUUCAUCAGAUCACAAAAGUGCCAUUUACCAACGUAAAACAUUCAGAAUAAAAAAGUUUAAAGGUACACGUGAGUUGCCAAUGAACUCGACGUUGAAGGAUUGUUCGACAAUUAUAUUACCUAAGAAGCUAGGUGUCCGAUUGUUUGCUUUAGUAAAAAAGAAACUUAAAGAAUUAACAAAUUCUAACAAUACGUAAGAAAGACUGAUCGAAGACGAAAAGACUGCAAAGUCGUGCAAUAUAUCAGUAAGAAAAAUUUUAAAUGAAAUGAGAAAAUAAUUGACGUAACUAUAAUGUACUAUAAAACAACUUUAUUCAAUGUGUACAAAAAUAUUAAUGGACGGCGUAAGGUACAUGUACGGUUACACUGCAAAUAUACUUAAAUAACAGUUAAAUAUCAUUUUAUACUUAUCUAAAAUGUCGAGAAAUGGACGGAUUAUACAAUAAUCUUUAGUCGAGAACUAUAUGUUACAUUACCACAUCCAUUCAUUUAACUAUGAAUCGGUAUGUAAAAUACGAAAAAUAUGAUUAAUUUUGUGAACACAUCUCAUACAAAGAUUAAAAAACUAGUAAAUAUAGCUAGAUGUAUUUUCUAAAAGUUUUUUUUAUCUAAUGUACAUAUAUUCAUCUGUUAAAAGAAAUUUACCUUAUUUACCUACUAAGUAUGUAAGCAAAUAUAAUCAUAGCUAUCGUAGCUAUUAUCGAAUGCUCUAUAGCUGAUGCACCGGCAUUACAAUCUACAAUUCUUCUAGCUCUCAUAAAGUCUGGACCUAAAUACGCACUAAACUCUCUUUUUUCUGGUGGUAUUACUACUAACUGCUGUGUAGCGUCCUGGAAAAUCAAAUCGCUAUAAGGCGGCUGACUGUAAAACAUACUAAAACUAAAUUCGUCCUGUUCUUUUCUGCCAUAAAAUUGUUGGGCGUAAAUAAACAAGUUUAUGUAAGCGUUUAUUUGUGUCUCGUUAUAUCCAUAAUAUCCACCACGUGUAACUAUUGCAUUCGCUGCCACUUUUCCUAAAUUGCAAUGUAUGUAAUCGGUUGUUGGUCGACGAGUGCCGUCUGGGCAAAGCAAUUCGAAAUCUUUAGUGAAAGUAUUACGUGCCCACGUUUCUCGUCGUUUUCCAUCUGUAUUUUCUGCGACUGUUGUGUGCUUCA